UCUAGGGAGCCUUUGGUCACUGUUUUUUGUCUAGUUGGUGGCUGGCCUUGCUUUUUGUGGGGUUUUGGUUUUCUUGUGGGCGUCAUUGUUUUUAGUUGGCAUGCUGUUGGGUUUCGGGGUAACACCUGGUUUGACUGCUUGGGCUGAUGGAUGCUUUUUUGGUGUUUGUUGGUUUGGUGUUGGUUUGGUGGUUGAGAAUUGUAUAGUGGACGCGAGCAUCUUUGGUUUUUAAUCAAUUUGUUUUGUUGUAAGUGUUUAAGGGCGUUCGGUGGAUGCCUUGGCACGCAUGGCCGAUGAAGGACGUUGUAGCCUGCGAUAUGCCUCGGGGAGUUGGCAAACGAGCUGUGAUCCGAGGAUUUCCGAAUGGGGGAACCUGGCUGGGGUUAUGCCCAGUUACCGGCAUCUGAAUGUAUAGGGUGUUUGGGGGGUAA
Molecule: unclassified non-coding RNA, 431 nt
Filed under: Arcanobacterium hippocoleae
Lineage: Bacteria; Bacillati; Actinomycetota; Actinomycetes; Actinomycetales; Actinomycetaceae
Description: partial 16S-23S ribosomal RNA intergenic spacer
Rfam family: Bacterial large subunit ribosomal RNA (bases 246-431)
Source: RNAcentral